UGCGAACUCCUACGGGAGGCAGCAGUGGGGAAUAUUGGACAAUGGGCGAAAGCCUGAUCCAGCAAUGCCGCGUGAGUGAUGAAGGCCUUAGGGUUGUAAAGCUCUUUUACCCGGGAUGAUAAUGACAGUACCGGGAGAAUAAGCCCCGGCUAACUCCGUGCCAGCAGCCGCGGUAAUACGGAGGGGGCUAGCGUUGUUCGGAAUUACUGGGCGUAAAGCGCACGUAGGCGGCUUUGUAAGUUAGAGGUGAAAGCCCAGGGCUCAACCCUGGAAUUGCCUUUAAGACUGCAUCGCUUGAACAUCGGAGAGGUAAGUGGAAUUCCGAGUGUAGAGGUGAAAUUCGUAGAUAUUCGGAAGAACACCAGUGGCGAAGGCGACUUACUGGACGAUUGUUGACGCUGAGGUGCGAAAGCGUGGGGAGCAAACAGGAUUAGAUACCCUAGUAGUCCAGAUG
This 454-nucleotide ribosomal RNA is filed under the name uncultured bacterium. RNAcentral describes it as "bacterial SSU rRNA". It matches the Rfam family "Bacterial small subunit ribosomal RNA", at positions 330 to 801 of the family's 1533-position model. The record is from RNAcentral.